RNAcentral lists this ribosomal RNA (246 nucleotides) under uncultured bacterium. RNAcentral describes it as "partial 16S ribosomal RNA". It matches the Rfam family "Bacterial small subunit ribosomal RNA", at positions 16 to 257 of the family's 1533-position model. The record is from RNAcentral.
GUCAUGGCUCAGAUUGAACGCUGGCGGCAGGCCUAACACAUGCAAGUCGAACGGUAACAGAAAGCAGCUUGCUGCUUUGCUGACGAGUGGCGGACGGGUGAGUAAUGUCUGGGAAACUGCCCGAUGGAGGGGGAUAACUACUGGAAACGGUAGCUAAUACCGCAUAACGUCGCAAGACCAAAGAGGGGGGACCUUCGGGCCUCUUGCCAUCGGAUGUGCCCAGAUGGGAUUAGCUAGUAGGUGGGG